This 443-nucleotide ribosomal RNA is filed under the name uncultured bacterium. Its description in RNAcentral is "partial 16S ribosomal RNA". It matches the Rfam family "Bacterial small subunit ribosomal RNA", at positions 338 to 795 of the family's 1533-position model. The record is from RNAcentral.
CCUACGGGAGGCAGCAGUGGGGGAUAGGGGACAAUGGGGGGAACCCUGAUCCAGCGACGCCGCGUGAGUGAAGAAGUAUUUCGGUAUGUAAAGCUCUGUCAGCAGGGAAGAAAGAAAUGACGGUACCGGACCAAGAAGCACCGGCUAACUACGUGCCAGCAGCCGCGGUAAUACGUAGGGGGCAAGCGUUAUCCGGAAUUACUGGGUGUAAAGGGAGCGUAGACGGUUAAGUAAGUCUGGAGUGAAAGGCCGGGGCCCAACCCCGGGACUGCUCUGGAAACUAUUGAACUUGAGUGCAGGAGAGGUAAGCGGUAUUCCUAUUGUCGCGGUGCCAUGCGUCGAUAUUAGGAGGCCCACCAGUGGCGCAGGCGGCUUACUGGACUGUACCUGACGUUGAUGCUCGAAAGCGUGGGGAGCAAACAGGAUUAGAUACCCGGGUAGUC